UACGGGGGGGGCAAGCGUUGUUCGGAAUUACUGGGCGUAAAGGGCUCGUAGGUGGCCAACUAAGUCAGACGUGAAAUCCCUCGGCUUAACCGGGGAACUGCGUCUGAUACUGGAUGGCUUGAGGUUGGGAGAGGGAUGCGGAAUUCCAGGUGUAGCGGUGAAAUGCGUAGAUAUCAGGAGGAACACCGGUGGCGAAGGCGGGUCUCUGGGCCGAUACUGACGCUGAGGAGCGAAAGCGUGGGGAGCGAACAGG
Molecule: ribosomal RNA, 253 nt
Filed under: uncultured bacterium
Lineage: Bacteria
Description: partial 16S ribosomal RNA
Rfam family: Bacterial small subunit ribosomal RNA
Source: RNAcentral